CACGUCGAUAUCACUAGUCGCUCUG
RNAcentral lists this non-coding RNA (25 nucleotides) under Drosophila melanogaster (fruit fly). Lineage: Eukaryota; Metazoa; Arthropoda; Insecta; Diptera; Drosophilidae. The record is from RNAcentral.